AUUGAACGCUGGCGGCAGGCCUAACACAUGCAAGUCGAACGAGUGGCGGACGGGUGAGUAAUGUCUGGGAAACUGCCUGAUGGAGGGGGAUAACUACUGGAAACGGUAGCUAAUACCGCAUACCAUCAGAUGUGCCCAGAUGGGAUUAGCUUGUUGGUGGGGUAACGGCUCACCAAGGCGACGAUCCCUAGCUGGUCUGAGAGGCUGACCAGCCACAAUGGAACUGAGACACGGGCCAGACGCCUACGGGAGGCAGCAGUGGGGAAUAGGGAACAAUGGGCGCAAGCCUGAUGCAUCCAUGCCGCGUGUAUGAAGAGGGCCUUCGGGUGGUGAAGGACUUGCAGCGGGGAGGCGUUACCCGCAGAAGAAGCACCGGCUAACUCCGUGCCAGCAGCCGCGGUAAUUC
RNAcentral lists this ribosomal RNA (406 nucleotides) under uncultured bacterium. RNAcentral describes it as "partial 16S ribosomal RNA". It matches the Rfam family "Bacterial small subunit ribosomal RNA", at positions 29 to 526 of the family's 1533-position model. The record is from RNAcentral.